GGCUUACAGGAUCUCAGGUCCCCAACCAGGGAUUGAACCUGUGUUAUAGCAGUGAAAGCACGGAAUCCUGGCCACUAGGCUACCAAGGAACAGCCCUGAAGAACUUUCUUUGACCUUGAUCUUCUUGGGGCUCAUCAGGAAGAGCUCCAUCCGCAGAGCUGUCAGAAACAGAAGGAGCUGCCUGGGGAGGUAGGAAGUUCCCUGUCGCUGGAGGUGUUUGAGCAGAUGCUGGAGAACUGCUUGGCAAUGACUUCUAAGGUCUCCCCAGCCCCAGGAGUCUCUGAAAAUUUCCAUGAUGACUACUGCUGCUGCAGUGACUUGUUUGAAAGGAGACAAAAAGAAGGUGGAAUCUGCACGUGAUGGUGACCCAGCUUCCAUCAUGCAGAUGAUCUUGAGGACUGGGAGGUCAGCAGAGCAGAAACUGGAAGGAACCUGAGUUUCUGAAUAACCAUGAGGAGCAAAGCUUCCAUUCACCUGGAUUGUUCAUCUCACAACUGCUACAUGAAUAGAAAUAAAUAUAUUCUUUAAGCCACUGCAUUUUGGGAUCUAUAUUAGCCUACUCUACCAAAUACAAUGAGUUUAUAGGAGUUAGCCAUGUGGAAAAAUGGAGAGAGACAGAUUUCAAAGCACCCAGUCAAGAGAGAGCAUUGCACUUCAAGAUGCAUGAAGCAGUGGCUGUGAAAGGGCUUCAUAUAAUAAUAUGAUAUCUCAGACAUUUAUUUCUCACAGUUCUGGAGGCAGGGAAGUCUAAGAUCAAGGGGCCUGUAGAUUCAGUGCCUGGUGAGAGCUAUCCCUGGCUUGCAGAAGGUUGCCUUCUCGUGUUUUCACAUGGUGUGGAGAGGG
Bos taurus (domestic cattle) is the source of this 843-nucleotide long non-coding RNA. The record is from Ensembl. NCBI's taxonomy places the organism in Eukaryota, Metazoa, Chordata, Mammalia, Artiodactyla, Bovidae.